This 487-nucleotide ribosomal RNA is filed under the name uncultured bacterium. RNAcentral's name for it is "bacterial SSU rRNA". It matches the Rfam family "Bacterial small subunit ribosomal RNA", at positions 34 to 518 of the family's 1533-position model. The record is from RNAcentral.
CGCUGGCGGCGUGCCUAACACAUGCAAGUCGAACGGAGUUAUUUGACAGAUCCCUUCGGGGUGAUGGAUUUUAACUAGUGGCGGACGGGUGAGUAACGCGUGAGUAACCUGCCUUUGAGAGGGGAAUAACGUUCUGAAAAGAUCGCUAAUACCGCAUAACAUACAACUGUCGCAUGGCAGAGGUAUCAAAGAUUUUAUCGCUCAAAGAUGGACUCGCGUCCGAUUAGCUAGUUGGCGGGGUAACGGCCCACCAAGGCGACGAUCGGUAGCCGGACUGAGAGGUUGAUCGGCCACAUUGGGACUGAGACACGGCCCAGACUCCUACGGGAGGCAGCAGUGGGGGAUAUUGCGCAAUGGGGGGCCAACCCUGACGCAGCAACGCCGCGUGAAGGAAGACGGUUUUCGGAUUGUAAACUUCUUUUAUUAAGGACGAAGAAAUGACGGUACUUAAUGAAUAAGCUCCGGCUAACUACGUGCCAGCAGCGGC